GUGAGAGGCGGUAGCGGCGGCGGCGGCGGUGGUAUCGGCGGCAGCUGUGAGGGGGUUCCGGGAAGAUGGUGCUGAUCAAGGAAUUCCGUGUGGUUUUGCCAUGUUCUGUUCAGGAGUAUCAGGUUGGGCAGCUUUACUCUGUUGCAGAAGCUAGUAAGAAUGAGACUGGUGGUGGAGAAGGAAUUGAAGUCUUAAAGAAUGAACCUUAUGAGAAGGAUGGAGAAAAGGGACAGUAUACGCACAAAAUUUAUCACCUAAAGAGCAAAGUGCCUGCAUUCGUGAGGAUGAUUGCUCCCGAGGGCUCCUUGGUGUUUCAUGAGAAAGCCUGGAAUGCGUACCCCUACUGUAGAACAAUUGUAACGGUGAGUAAAACUAUUUUUGUGUCUCAUACUUUCUUUAUCUUUAAACUUUGUUUUACACAGUAAUUAUUUUCAACCAUUCUUUGCUAACUGCCCCUCGCUGCAUGGUUCCUUCCUGUGUCCCACCAACCAGCCGCCACACUCUACCACAUGUUCCCAGUGUUCAUGGGCCCUUUCCACCCUUGUCUCAAAAUCUCCCUAUUGAUUUUAUUUUGCUUUUGUUACUCCCUUCA
RNAcentral lists this small RNA (592 nucleotides) under Pan troglodytes (chimpanzee). Its description in RNAcentral is "retained intron". Lineage: Eukaryota; Metazoa; Chordata; Mammalia; Primates; Hominidae. The record is from RNAcentral.